Molecule: long non-coding RNA, 2054 nt
Organism: Mustela erminea (ermine)
Lineage: Eukaryota; Metazoa; Chordata; Mammalia; Carnivora; Mustelidae
Exons: 3
Source: RefSeq, a predicted model, not a curated record
UUUACGAUAUAAAUAUAUAAAUGAUACAAAGGUGUAACCUUGGCCGGGAAGGGACGGCUGAUCCAGGCCUACAGGGGCUGAAGCCUGAGCCCUGACGCUCCCUUCCGGUCUUGGAGGGACAAGACGGUCCCCACGCAGGCCCCACCUCGAGUGUCUGAUUUCAUGGACGGACCUUUAAUCAGAAGGAUUUUUCCCCUGCGGCAGCCCCAGCAAGUCCCACGAGCAGAGGCCUGUUCCCAGGAGUGGGGCCAGUGCUCCUGCCAACCUGCCUCGCACAGCGAUGGGGCGUCGCUCCAGGACCGACUGUUCCAGUCCUGCAGGAAGCCUGUCAGGGCAAAGACCGAGCCAGGACCUCCCGGCCACCGCCCUGCAUUGUUGGUCUUCCGGAGCCGAGAAGUCUCAAGGUCUUCACAACAACAACCUUGCUGCGCCGCGUUCCCAUCUCGCACCUUCCCUGAGGGCUUGCUGGCCGCUUCUCCAGUGGGAGCACCUUCGCCUCAGCAGAGCCAGAGCCCCUACAGGGACCUUCUGAACCCUCAGGAAUGCAGAAGCCUCUUGGAGAAAGCAGCCCAGCACUUAGAAUGAUGCCAUCUGUUUCACAUUUAGGAUGGAAAGGCAAGUCUGGCAAAGAUCAUUUAACCACUAUGUCUUUUUCAUUUCUGGAAUCUGCUUACUUAAGAGAGGCCUACUGAAAAAAAGAAAAAAGAGCCCUCCUAUCAUUUUCCAUGGAAGAACUUUUUUUGGCUGCCUCUAAGAGCCCCAGCACUCCAGAAGAAGGGUGUCAGGAGAAACCAUGUCAUUGCGGGAGGCCUGGCCCCACAGGUGGGUGCAAGGGGAGGCCCGGGGUUCCUGUGGGGACAUGACCCAUUGCCUCCUGUGCCUUUCAGGCCCCUGGGAUGAGCUUCUGGUUGCGGGGGCCCCGUGGGCAGAACUGGGGCUAUGCUGACGGCUUCUGGUCUGUGGACAUUGGCUGUGGGAGCCUCUGUCGGGCCAACACCAGGACACCUUCUUCAGGCAGCUGAACGCAGGCUCCUCCGCCCAACUGGGCUUCUUUCCGGCAUCCCAAGAAUGUCUCAUCGUGGCCAAUGGACCCAGAGUAUCUCCAGAAGCAGCAGUAAUUUUGAGCAUAUAAAAUGACUGUGCCUGAUCAGGAAGGCAUUUGGAGCAAGUGGAAUAUGCUCCUUAUGUCUCUCCUGACAUUGGAAACCACUUCUCUGUCUUUGAAGAAGAGCGUCUAGAGACUCGAGUGCUCCCAGAGAAGGACUGUGCGUGCCUCUCUGCUGCCAGUAAGGACGUCCAGCCCCGCGAGAGAAGCCAGGCGCGGUGACAUUUUGGCCAUGGAGGGCGUGGCCCCAGGAGCCAGCGUGGCCCAUCGGGAAGGCCAGGCCGAGUGGGGGGCCUUCAUUCCGCACAGCCAGCACCCUCCCCUGGCUCCAGCCUACCCCCAGCGUCCCUGCAGGCAUCCAGGGGUCUCUGAGCUCUUCUCCUUUCUCUGUGCCUUGGACUGUUUUGUGUCCUGGUUAACUGAGCUGUCAGCACCCGGUUCGGAGGCCCCUGGCUCCGCCUGCAUGUCUGGGAGCUCGGGGAAGCCUCAAACUCGUGACCAGGGGAGUCAACACGAACAUGUGGCAGGUCCACGACGGCAUAAACGCGUGUAAGGAGGGAAGGCAGCCAGGGGUCCUCCGGCCACUCAAUACGUAAACUAGACUUGAGACAAUAAAAUUACUUAUUAUUUUUCUUAGGGCAUUUUGGGACAAUGGCUAUUACUUUUAGUUUGCCAUUUUAACAAGUAAUAAUAUAUUUUUAUUCUUCUUGGGAGGCAGCAAGUAUCCUCUGACUCUGGGACAAUUCAUGCUUUUCCUAAUGAGCAAGGAGUGUGUUUUCCUUUGAUGCACAAAGUAGGGGUUAAAUACUGAGCGGUUGAGAUUUCCUUUCAGAACUGAAAUAAAAUAUCUGGCAUCUAUUAGUUCCACAAAAGCUAUUAGUUUCAAAAACAGCUUUAUGAAGGGACACAGUCCUGGUACCAAAACAGUAUUUCCCCAGAAUAAAUGCCU